RNAcentral lists this transfer RNA (78 nucleotides) under Podarcis lilfordi (Lilford's wall lizard). Its description in RNAcentral is "tRNA.Lys". The stretch from base 12 to 69 matches the Rfam family "tRNA", at positions 8 to 63 of the family's 71-position model. From Rfam's summary of the family: Transfer RNA (tRNA) molecules are approximately 80 nucleotides in length. Their secondary structure includes four short double-helical elements and three loops (D, anti-codon, and T loops). Further hydrogen bonds mediate the characteristic L-shaped molecular structure. tRNAs have two regions of fundamental functional importance: the anti-codon, which is responsible for specific mRNA codon recognition, and the 3' end, to which the tRNAs corresponding amino acid is attached (by aminoacyl-tRNA synthetases). tRNAs cope with the degeneracy of the genetic code in two manners: having more than one tRNA (with a specific anti-codon) for a particular amino acid; and 'wobble' base-pairing, i.e. permitting non-standard base-pairing at the 3rd anti-codon position. The record is from RNAcentral. Lineage: Eukaryota; Metazoa; Chordata; Lepidosauria; Squamata; Lacertidae.
CACCUGAGGGAUAGCUCAGUUGGUAGAGCAUGAGACUCUUAAUCUCAGGGUCUUGGGUUUGAGCCCCAUGUUGGGUGA